UACGGAGGGAGCUAGCGUUGUUCGGAAUUACUGGGCGUAAAGCGCGCGUAGGCGGCUUUGUAAGUUAGAGGUGAAAUCCCGGGGCUCAACCUCGGAACUGCCUUUGAUACUGCAAAUCUCGAGUCCGGAAGAGGUGAGUGGAAUUCCUAGUGUAGAGGUGAAAUUCGUAGAUAUUAGGAAGAACACCAGUGGCGAAGGCGGCUCACUGGUCCGGUACUGACGCUGAGGUGCGAAAGCGUGAGGAGCAAACAGG
This 253-nucleotide ribosomal RNA is filed under the name uncultured bacterium. RNAcentral's name for it is "partial 16S ribosomal RNA". It matches the Rfam family "Bacterial small subunit ribosomal RNA", at positions 524 to 776 of the family's 1533-position model. The record is from RNAcentral.